RNAcentral lists this ribosomal RNA (115 nucleotides) under Salix viminalis (osier). Lineage: Eukaryota; Viridiplantae; Streptophyta; Magnoliopsida; Malpighiales; Salicaceae. The record is from RNAcentral.
AUGUGCACGGGGCGAUCAUUGCACCGGAUCCAUCAGAACUCCGCAGUUAAACGUGCUUUGGGCGAGAGUAGUACUAGGAUGGGUGACCUCCUGGGAAGUCCUCGUGUUGCACCCC